AAAAUCCGUUGGUCUCACAGGACCGUGAGGGUUCGAUUCCCUCUAUCCCCA
RNAcentral lists this transfer RNA (51 nucleotides) under Microlepia marginata. RNAcentral describes it as "partial tRNA-Leu". RNAcentral also lists the same sequence under 8 other names. Lineage: Eukaryota; Viridiplantae; Streptophyta; Polypodiopsida; Polypodiales; Dennstaedtiaceae. The record is from RNAcentral.